RNAcentral lists this ribosomal RNA (1014 nucleotides) under Triticum aestivum (bread wheat). RNAcentral's name for it is "partial small subunit ribosomal RNA". Lineage: Eukaryota; Viridiplantae; Streptophyta; Magnoliopsida; Poales; Poaceae. The record is from RNAcentral.
AUGCCCGUGCCCUCCUCCACGCGCUGCCCCGCCGGGCCUCUCCUGCAGCCUAGUCCCUCUCCCCGGUGCUCGCGUCGCCAAGUACCUCGACCAGCCGGAGCUUCUUCCAGCCUCGCGCGCCCGAGCCCCCGAGCUCCUCUGGUCGCGCACGAGCUCCGUGACCCCGAUGGCCACUUCGUCAGUCUCGUCGCCGCCGUUGACUCGCAGGCCAGCACCUUGCCUCCUCCUGCCGACGCCCUCCACCACCCAGGCCAGCCCCCGUCGCCUUUCUCUUUUUCCUCCGUCCUUCUCCACCUCCCUAAUCUCUCUGCUCCCUCUCUGCUGCUAUGGUCAGGUGCCCCGUCGUCCGCGCCAAGACCAGCUAGCAGGCGCCCGCGUUCGUCGUCCCGAACCUCGCCUUCGCCUCACACCUCCACCUCAACUCCGGCCGGAUCGGCUCGGUUCCCCGCCGCCCCGCCAAGUCCAUGGGGCCGCCUCCCUGUCGCACGUCCGGCUUCAAUAGCAGCCAUGGAGCCGCCCCGCUUCGAUUCGGCAGGGAACGGGACCCCGACGACCUCCACCGCCCGAAUCCACCGCCUCCUGCCGCCCUUCACCUCCUACCGUCGCCCGGAUCCAGCUCCCCUCCGCCCGCCCAUCCCCGGCCUCCUGUGCUCGCCUGCUUCCUCUGCAUCGAAGCCGCUCGCCCUUUGUCUCCAUCGCCCCGAACCGGUCUCCCCUCCGCGCGUUGACCACGCCCUGCCUCACUUCGAUCUGCCUGCGAAGCCCAAGUCCAGCCAGCCGGCCUGCCUUGCCUCUUCAUCGACCGGGCCGAGGCCCAUGCUUCGGUUUCGUUCCGGAGUUGUGAGGAUUCGUUCGACUCCGUCCGUUCAUCUUCUUCAUGGACUCGUUCUUCUUCCUAGCGGGAUCUCGGUUGCAGGUGCCGAUGAGACCAGUGCAGAUGACGCAACUGAGCUCAAGUGGGAGCUCGAUGAAGCUCUUGUUCGUUGUGUUGUUUCUUUUCAUGUUGAUCAGUAG